This is a long non-coding RNA of Acanthochromis polyacanthus (spiny chromis), 972 nucleotides long. RefSeq lists it as uncharacterized. The record is from RefSeq and is a predicted model, not a curated record. The transcript has 3 exons. NCBI's taxonomy places the organism in Eukaryota, Metazoa, Chordata, Actinopteri, Pomacentridae.
AUGCAUUGUCCCAGGAUGUAUUACAGUAUAUUGGUGCCCCCUAGCGUAUGAUUUUUCCCUGCUUCAGAAUAAGAUUCAAUUUAGAGGAGCCAUGAGCCAGACACGGAAACUGCUUCAGUCUCGUCGCUCGCAUCGACCAAACUAACGAGCACCAUUUUAAACUGAUGACUGUUUGUUUAAAUUCUGUUUUACAUGACUUGGACGGCAAAGCUUCGAGAGUUGCCAAAGUUGGAUUUACUUUUUUGCCACUUCGGGCAGUCCCAGCGGUGAUCCCGCGAACAUGGAGAGUCUGUAAAUAAAACACCCCGCAAGGUAUCGACUUAUCGAGGAGCCAGUUUUUGCUUCAAAAUGAGUGAAAAAGUUUGGGAGAAGACACAAGAGAGAAAGCCGUGGCAGCAUUCAGUCCUGAGCCAGACAUGGCUCACAUGUGGCCCCAAAGGCAGCAGACAGUGUAUUGAGUUACUGUAACUCAAGGUGUAAUGUGGUAGCAGUGGGGGAUAUGUAAAAACUACACAAACGGAUGUAGUAGAGGCUUGCUUCAGCUUCGCAUUACAGCUAUUCAGACGGUUUAUUUUCUUAAACUAAACAUUGAAUCAUGUAUUUGUUCUAAUGGAAGCCAUAUUUCUUAUAGUGGCAUUCAGCUACUUAUAUCAAACUGCUAUUGUUUCAACAGCAUUGUGUCACCAGGUUCAGUUAUUUUUAUGUGUUCAUUUCUACUGAAUAAUUAUGUUUAUAGCACUCAGAGAGGACUUGUUAAUGCAUGCUGGUAAACUUCUAAUAGAAUAAUAGCUGUAUUUAAUACUUUUUGAAGAUUUGGGAUGUUUAGGUGCUAAUGUGGUGCGUACAACUAUGACAUGACUGCUCAAGUAUUAGUGUUUGCAUUGUUACUUAAGUAGCUGAUGAAGUAGCCCAUAUGUGUGAUUUUAAUUUGCAGAGUGCCACACCUAUGACAAAUAAAGUUUUAAUCUAUGA